RNAcentral lists this ribosomal RNA (493 nucleotides) under Bacillus cereus. RNAcentral's name for it is "bacterial SSU rRNA". It matches the Rfam family "Bacterial small subunit ribosomal RNA", at positions 59 to 532 of the family's 1533-position model. The record is from RNAcentral. Lineage: Bacteria; Bacillati; Bacillota; Bacilli; Caryophanales; Bacillaceae.
AAGUCGAGCGAAUGGAUUGAGAGCUUGCUCUCAUGAAGUUAGCGGCGGACGGGUGAGUAACACGUGGGUAACCUGCCCAUAAGACUGGGAUAACUCCGGGAAACCGGGGCUAAUACCGGAUAAGAUUUUGAACUGCAUGGUUCGAAAUUGAAAGGCGGCUUCGGCUGUCACUUAUGGAUGGACCCGCGUCGCAUUAGCUAGUUGGUGAGGUAACGGCUCACCAAGGCAACGAUGCGUAGCCGACCUGAGAGGGUGAUCGGCCACACUGGGACUGAGACACGGCCCAGACUCCUACGGGAGGCAGCAGUAGGGAAUCUUCCGCAAUGGACGAAAGUCUGACGGAGCAACGCCGCGUGAGUGAUGAAGGCUUUCGGGUCGUAAAACUCUGUUGUUAGGGAAGAACAAGUGCUAGUUGAAUAAGCUGGCACCUUGACGGUACCUAACCAGAAAGCCACGGCUAACUACGUGCCAGCAGCCGCGGUAAUACGUAGGU